UACGUAGGGGGCAAGCGUUUGUCCGGAUUUAUUGGGCGUAAAGAGCGUGUAGGCGGCCAGAUAGGUCCGUUGUGAAAACUCGAGGCUCAACCUCGAGACGCCGGCGGAAACCAUCUGGCUAGAGUCCGGAAGAGGAGAGUGGAAUUCCUGGUGUAGCGGUGAAAUGCGCAGAUAUCAGGAAGAACACCCGUGGCGAAGGCGGCUCUCUGGGACGGUACUGACGCUGAGACGCGAAAGCGUGGGGGAGCGAACAGG
RNAcentral lists this ribosomal RNA (255 nucleotides) under uncultured bacterium. Its description in RNAcentral is "partial 16S ribosomal RNA". It matches the Rfam family "Bacterial small subunit ribosomal RNA", at positions 524 to 776 of the family's 1533-position model. The record is from RNAcentral.